GUGGGGUAGCCGUAGCGAAAGCGAGUCUGAAUAGGGCGUAUCCACACAACAGUGUGUGGUGUAGUGGUGUGUUCUGGACCCGAAGCGGAGUGAUCUACCCAUGGCCAGGGUGAAGCGCGGGUAAGACCGCGUGGAGGCCCGAACCCACUUAGGUUGAAGACUGAGGGGAUGAGCUGUGGGUAGGGGUGAAAGGCCAAUCAAACUCCGUGAUAGCUGGUUCUCCCCGAAAUGCAUUUAGGUGCAGCGUCGCGUGUUUCUUACCGGAGGUAGAGCUACUGGAUGGCCGAUGGGCCCCACAGGGUUACUGACGUCAGCCAAACUCCGAAUGCCGGUAAGUCCAAGAACGCGGCAGUGAGACGGCGGGGGAUAAGCUCCGUGCGUCGAGAGGGAAACAGCCCAGAUCGCCGGCUAAGGCCCCUAAGCGUGUGCUAAGUGGAAAAGGAUGUGCAGUCGCAAAGACAACCAGGAGGUUGGCUUAGAAGCAGCCACCCUUGAAAGAGUGCGUAAUAGCUCACUGGUCAAGUGAUUGUGCGCCGAUAAUGUAGCGGGGCUCAAGCACACCGCCGAAGCCGCGGCAACGCGUAAGCGUUGGGUAGGGGAGCGUCCUGCAUCCGGUGAAGCAGCCGAGUAAUCGAGCUGUGGAGGGUGUGGGAGUGAGAAUGCAGGCAUGAGUAGCGAUAAGGCAAGUGAGAACCUUGCCCGCCGAAAGACCAAGGGUUCCUGGGGCAGGCCAGUCCGCCCAGGGUGAGUCGGGACCUAAGGCGAGGCCGACAGGCGUAGUCGAUGGACAACGGGUUGAUAUUCCCGUACCCGUGUGUGAGCGCCCAAUGACGAAUCAUCGGUACUAACCGCCCAAAUGGUGGUCUACCAAACCCUUCGGGGGGCGGGGAUCACCGGCUGCGCGGGACCUUCGGUGUUAGUAGUCAAGCGAUGGGGUGACGCAGGAAGGUAGCCGUACCAGUCAGUGGUAAUACUGGGGCAAGCCCGUAGGGAGUCAGAUAGGCAAAUCCGUCUGACACAGAUCCUGAGAGGUGAUGCAUAGCCGAUUGAGGCGAAUUCGGUGAUCCUCAGCUGCCGAGAAAAGCCUCUAGCGAGCACACACACGGCCCGUACCCCAAACCGACACAGGUGGUCAGGUAGAGAAUACCAAGGCGUACGAGUGAACUAUGGUUAAGGAACUCGGCAAAAUACCUCCGUAACUUCGGGAGAAGGAGGACCCCUUACCGUCAUGGCCCUCGCGGCCGGCAGCGGUGGGGGGUGGCACAAACCAGUGAGAAGCGACUGUUUACUAAAAACACAGGUCCGUGCGAAGUCGCAAGACGAUGUAUACGGACUGACGCCUGCCCGGUGCUGGAAGGUUAAGAGGACCCGUUAACCGCAAGGUGAAGCGGAGAAUUUAAGCCCCAGUAAACGGCGGUGGUAACUAUAACCAUCCUAAGGUAGCGAAAUUCCUUGUCGGGUAAGUUCCGACCUGCACGAAUGGCGUAACGACUUCUCAACUGUCUCAACCAUAGACUCGGCGAAAUUGCACUACGAGUAAAGAUGCUCGUUACGCGCGGCAGGACGAAAAGACCCCGGGACCUUCACUAUAGCUUGGUAUUGAUGUUCGAUACGGUUUGUGUAGGAUAGGUGGGAGACUAUGAAGCAUUAACGCCAGUUAGUGUGGAGUCGUUGUUGAAAUACCACUCUGAUCGUAUUGGACCUCUAACUUCGAACCGUAUAUCCGGUUCAGGGACAGUGCCUGGUGGGUAGUUUAACUGGGGCGGUUGCCUCCCAAAAAGUAACGGAGGCGCCCAAAGGUUCCCUCAACCUGGACGGCAAUCAGGUGUUGAGUGCAAGUGCACAAGGGAGCUUGACUGCGAGACUGACACGUCAAGCAGGGACGAAAGUCGGGACUAGUGAUCCGGCACCCCCGAGUGGAAGGGGUGUCGCUCAACGGAUAAAAGGUACCCCGGGGAUAACAGGCUGAUCUUCCCCAAGAGUCCAUAUCGACGGGAUGGUUUGGCACCUCGAUGUCGGCUCGUCGCAUCCUGGGGCUGGAGCAGGUCCCAAGGGUUGGGCUGUUCGCCCAUUAAAGCGGCACGCGAGCUGGGUUUAGAACGUCGUGAGACAGUUCGGUCUCUAUCCGCCGCGCGCGUCAGAAGCUUGAGGAAAGCUGUCCCUAGUACGAGAGGACCGGGACGGACGAACCUCUGGUCCACCAGUUGUCACACCAGUGGCACGGCUGGAUAGCCACGUUCGGACAGGAUAACCGCUGAAAGCAUCUAAGCGGGAAACCUUCUCCAAGACCAGGCUUCUCACCCUUUUAGAGGGAUAAGGCCCCCCGCAGACCACGGGAUUGAUAGACCAGACCUGUAAACGUAGUAAUACGUGAGGGAACUGGCACUAACCGGCCGAAAACUUACAACA
Molecule: ribosomal RNA, 2409 nt
Filed under: anaerobic digester metagenome
Description: bacterial LSU rRNA
Rfam family: Bacterial large subunit ribosomal RNA
Source: RNAcentral